Molecule: long non-coding RNA, 222 nt
Filed under: Lathyrus oleraceus (garden pea)
Lineage: Eukaryota; Viridiplantae; Streptophyta; Magnoliopsida; Fabales; Fabaceae
Description: Pisum sativum (pea) long non-coding RNA (PSAT_LNC031351)
Source: RNAcentral
UGACCUUCACUCCCCAACUCUGGCUCAGAUCCAAGACCGUGCUCUGGCCUCUCAAAAGCCAUCACACUCUAACCCUGAAACUGAAGUCACUUCCCCACUUCCAGAAAACCCAAACACAACCACCUCUGAACCUCCACCAUCAAUACCAUUCCACUCUGACUCACAACCAUCUGAACCACCACGCUCUGAAAUACCCCAACCCAUUCCCUCCGUUGACCAAAC